GACGAAGGGGGCUAGCGUUGUUCGGAUUCAUUGGGCGUAAAGGGUGCGUAGGCGGCGCGGUAAGUCGGGUGUGAAAUCUCGGAGCUUAACUCCGAAACUGCAUUCGAUACUGCCGUGCUUGAGGACUGGAGAGGAGACUGGAAUUUACGGUGUAGCGGUGAAAUGCGUAGAUAUCGUAAGGAAGACCAGUGGCGAAGGCGGGUCUCUGGACAGUUCCUGACGCUGAGGCACGAAGGCCAGGGGAGCAAACGGG
Molecule: ribosomal RNA, 253 nt
Filed under: uncultured bacterium
Lineage: Bacteria
Description: partial 16S ribosomal RNA
Rfam family: Bacterial small subunit ribosomal RNA
Source: RNAcentral